RNAcentral lists this ribosomal RNA (251 nucleotides) under uncultured prokaryote. Its description in RNAcentral is "partial 16S rRNA". It matches the Rfam family "Bacterial small subunit ribosomal RNA", at positions 525 to 775 of the family's 1533-position model. The record is from RNAcentral.
ACGGAGGGUGCAAGCGUUGUUCGGAAUCACUGGGCGUAAAGGGCGCGUAGGUGGUUUGAUAAGUCAGAUGUGAAAGCCCACGGCUUAACUGUGGUAGUGCAUUUGAAACUGUCAGACUUGAGUAUCAGAGGGGAAAGUGGAAUUCCCGGUGUAGAGGUGAAAUUCGUAGAUAUCGGGAGGAAUACCGGUGGCGAAGGCGACCUUCAGGAAGAAUACUGAUGCUGAGGCGCGAUAGCUGGGGGAGCGAAGAU